This is a long non-coding RNA of Cucumis melo (muskmelon), 234 nucleotides long. RefSeq lists it as uncharacterized. Lineage: Eukaryota; Viridiplantae; Streptophyta; Magnoliopsida; Cucurbitales; Cucurbitaceae. The transcript is spliced from 3 exons. The record is from RefSeq and is a predicted model, not a curated record.
AUAUGAUGUAUGUAUAUCUAAAAGUUUGUUGCCAUAUUUUUCAGUCAGGUUAUGGCAAGGAGGAAAUACCGCUGGCCCUGGGAGAUAUCACUAAACAAAUGACUGCAAUAGAAGAAAUGGUUGCAAGUGAGUACAAUUAGCCAGACCCUUAUCUUUGUGACAAGAUCUUGAAGAUGGUCAUUUGUGAAGCGUUCUAGUUUGCUAUUAGUUGCAAUUUUAGUUACUGCUCUCUCA